CUCUAAUAAAACUUAUAUUUUUUACUUACCUGUCAAUGUAUACCAUUCUUACCUACAUAUUUGUGCCUCAAAAUCAUUGUUUUUUAAAAUAAAAUUAGUAAUUAUUGAAAUAUUACCUACCGGAAAUGCAUGUGUGCAGAGAAAAUCAUUCCACAAACAUAGUUGAUUUUUAUCCCUUGUACUUACAAACAGUCUCCGAUCGAUCAUUAAUGAUGUUAUUUGUUUGUGGUUUAUAUAUAUGAAUGAUAUGACACAUAAUCUUACCUAUAAAUAUUCACCGAUUGUCCAUAAAAAGUAUUAAAACUGUUUGUUUACGUCUUCGUGAUCUUUGAUCAACCAUUUUUCUCCGAAC
Molecule: long non-coding RNA, 352 nt
Filed under: Mytilus galloprovincialis (Mediterranean mussel)
Lineage: Eukaryota; Metazoa; Mollusca; Bivalvia; Mytilida; Mytilidae
Source: RNAcentral